Long non-coding RNA from Conger conger (European conger), 697 nucleotides. RefSeq lists it as uncharacterized. Lineage: Eukaryota; Metazoa; Chordata; Actinopteri; Anguilliformes; Congridae. The record is from RefSeq and is a predicted model, not a curated record. The transcript has 3 exons.
GACUGCAGAGCGUGGGCAUAAGCUGGCAGAGGGAAGAAAAAAAAACCAAAACAAAAAGCAGAAGGCAUCAGUCACAAAUCUAACCGCAGCAUCUCAACUGAGCCGACAUCAACAGGAAACCUUAGACGCGCUGACAGGUUAAUACAUGACAAGAAAGAAAAAAGCCCCAAAACAGCCUUCAACACCUUUGUUGCGAAAGCCCGGAGAGUAAUGUAUUACAGAAGACUGGUGUCUGGGUGCGAGUCCCAGAAGCUGUCGCCACAGCAACAGAGGGGGGGAAGCUCCACCUUCUCCAGCACCAUCCUCCGCUCCAUCUGCACCCGCAGAGCCUCGAUGAACCUGAGCCCAGGACAGUCCCCUCAGAGGAGGAAGUGAGAACUACGUCAGCUGGCUGCACGUCACCUUGCAAUCCUCUUCAGAUGUUUCCUGUGACGGCAAAGCUCCUUCACCUGCUCUCGCUCAAUGUCCAUGAAGAGACGCCGAUACAUCAGGAACUGAGAAUGUCGCUACGAAAGGGACCGGACGACAAAAGGACAACUUCUAACACCGAGACGCUUUACCCAGCAUCAAAACUACUGAAAGACUGUGCCUCGAUAUAGAGUGGAUAUUUCAUUUUUAGGUACAUUGUCCAAAAAAACAGUCUGAUGUGAUGCAUUAUCCUAACAUUCAUAACUUACACUAUUUUUCAAUGCUUUGU